GUAAGGAAUAUUGGUCAAUGGACGAAAGUCUGAACCAGCCAUGCCGCGUGGAGGAUGAAGGUCCUCUGGAUUGUAAACUUCUUUUAUCUGGGACGAAAAAAGGUCUUUCUAGAUCGUCUGACGGUACCAGAUGAAUAAGCACCGGCUAACUCCGUGCCAGCAGCCGCGGUAAUACGGAGGGUGCAAGCGUUAUCCGGAUUCACUGGGUUUAAAGGGUGCGUAGGUGGGUUGGUAAGUCAGUGGUGAAAUCUUCGAGCUUAACUCGGAAACUGCCAUUGAUACUAUCAGUCUUGAAUAUUGUGGAGGUUAGCGGAAUAUGUCAUGUAGCGGUGAAAUGCUUAGAUAUGACAUAGAACACCAAUUGCGAAGGCAGCUGGCUACACAUAUAUUGACACUGAGGCACGAAAGCGUGGGGAUCAAACAGGAUUAGAUACCCUUGUAGUCC
This 445-nucleotide ribosomal RNA is filed under the name uncultured bacterium. RNAcentral describes it as "partial 16S ribosomal RNA". It matches the Rfam family "Bacterial small subunit ribosomal RNA", at positions 354 to 796 of the family's 1533-position model. The record is from RNAcentral.